Molecule: ribosomal RNA, 230 nt
Filed under: uncultured bacterium
Lineage: Bacteria
Description: partial 16S ribosomal RNA
Rfam family: Bacterial small subunit ribosomal RNA
Source: RNAcentral
AAAGGGUGCGUAGGCGGCCUGUUAAGUCAGAGGUGAAAGACGGUAGCUCAACUAUCGCAGUGCCUUUGAUACUGAUGGGCUUGAAUGGACUAGAGGUAGGCGGAAUGAGACAAGUAGCGGUGAAAUGCAUAGAUAUGUCUCAGAACACCGAUUGCGAAGGCAGCUUACUAUGGUUUUAUUGACGCUGAGGCACGAAAGCGUGGGGAUCAAACAGGAUUAGAUACCCCGGU